RNAcentral lists this microRNA (20 nucleotides) under Homo sapiens (human). RNAcentral's name for it is "hsa-miR-6872-5p". The record is from miRBase by way of RNAcentral. Lineage: Eukaryota; Metazoa; Chordata; Mammalia; Primates; Hominidae.
UCUCGCAUCAGGAGGCAAGG